GAAUCCCGUAUAUGGCACGGACUCCCGUUACUCUGUGAUACACUCUCAACGAGUCGAGUUGUUUGGGAAUGCAGCUCCAAAUGGGUGGUAAAUGCCAUCUAAAGCUAAAUAUUGGCGAGAGACCGAUAGCAAACAAGUACCGUGAGGGAAAGAUGAAAAGCACUUUGGAAAGAGAGUGAAACAGUACGUGAAAUUGUUGAAAGGGAAACGCUUGAAGUCAGUCGUGCCCUUUGGGAUUCAGCCUUGCUUCUGCUUGGUUUACUUCCCUUUGGGUGGGUCAACAUCAGUUUGAAUCGGAGGAGAAAGACUUGGGGAAGGUGGCAGCAUUCGUGCUGUGUUAUAGCCCCUUGUUGUAUACUUCGAUUUGGACUGAGGACCGCAGCACGCCUUUGGCCGGGGCUCGCCCACGUACGUGCUUAGGAUGUUGGCAUAAUGGCUUUAAGCGACCCGUCUUGAAACACGGACCAAGGAGUCUAACAUGUGCGCGAGUGUUUGAGUGUUAAACUCAGACGCGAAAUGAAAGUGAAAGGUUGGGAACACUUAUGUGUGCACCGACGCCCGGAGCUGACCUUCUGUGACGCAUCUGCGGUAGAGCGUAUAUGUUGGGACCCGAAAGAUGGUGAACUAUGCCUGAAUAGGGUGAAGCCAGAGGAAACUCUGGUGGAGGCUCGUAGCGAUUCUGACGUGCAAAUCGAUCGUCAAAUUUGGGUAUAGGGGCGAAAGACUAAUCGAACCAUCUAGUAGCUGGUUCCUGCC
RNAcentral lists this ribosomal RNA (756 nucleotides) under uncultured Sebacina. RNAcentral's name for it is "partial 28S ribosomal RNA". It matches the Rfam family "Eukaryotic large subunit ribosomal RNA", at positions 216 to 962 of the family's 3401-position model. The record is from RNAcentral. Lineage: Eukaryota; Fungi; Basidiomycota; Agaricomycetes; Sebacinales; Sebacinaceae.